ACCAGUGCUGGGGCGGCUGCGCAGCGGCGCCACGGAACCAUCAUGUUGACAAGUCAUGUAUGCAAUAUGAAUCACUACUGGUCUAUCAAGAAUGUGACCUUAAGUUUCAUAGUACUAUUUUGUUUUGUACAAAGCUGUGGAUGUUUUUCAGAAAUAAAAAUAGGUGCUCUGUUUCAUGGGCAGGAAAGUCAGCAAGAACAAACCUUCCAGUUAGCUGUUGAACACAUUAACAGCAAACAACAUGUUUAUGAGCUGAAGCCUUAUGUACAAUAUGUAGAAGAACAUGAUGUUCUUCAAGUAGAUGCAGCAGUUUGUGAGCUGCUGUCAAAUGGUGUGUGGGCUAUAUUUGGACCUAAUUCAAGUUCAGCAUCUGAGCAAGUUCAAUCAAUCUGUGAUACUAUUGAAAUACCUCAUAUUGAGAUGAGAUGGAAUACCAAACAGCGAAGACAAGAUGUUGCUCUUAACUUAUAUCCACAUCCAAAGGCACUGUCAAAAGUGUACGCAGAUUUAGUUAAAGCAUGGAAAUGGAAGAGCUUCACUAUCCUAUUUGAAAGUGAUGAAGGGCUUAUCAGACUCAGUUAUGUACUGAAGAUGUAUGGCCCAAAGGACUUCACAGUGACAGUUCGUCACCUAAAUGAUUCUUCCAAUUACAGGCAUGUCUUGCGUAGAGUGAAAAGAUCGGGAGAAAUAAAUUUCAUCUUAGACUGUUCAAUUGAAACUUUACCUGAAAUUAUGAAACAAGCUCAGCAGGUUGGUCUUAUGACAGAUGAAUACAACUUCAUCAUAACAACAAUGGAUGUGCAUACCAUUGAUUUGGAGCCUUAUCAACAUGGUGGGACAAACAUAACUGGCUUUCAGCUUGUCGAUACCACAAGUGAUCCUGUACAAAACAUAAUAAAUUCAUGGAAGAAUUUUGAAAUAGAAGAUCUUGACAGGCCUGAUAUUGAACCAGAACAGAUUGAAGUUGAGUCUGCUCUCAUGUAUGAUGCUGUGCAUCUGUUUGAUGCUACAGUAAGAGAUAUGAGAGACCUCCAUAUUGAGGAUUCACCUUCUGGUUGUGAUAAUGUAUGGGGACAUGGUCAUUCAUUUAUCAACCUGAUGAGAGAUAGAUAUAAAACACUUCGAGGACUAACAGGACCUGUACAUUUUGACUAUGAAGGUUUUCGAACAGAUUUUAUGCUGCAUAUAGUGGAGUUGACAGUUGAUGGACUGCAGAAGAUUGGCACAUGGAAUUCAACCACUGGACUUACCUUAAUACGAGAAGAAGUAUCAACUGAAGUGAGACAAGAGGAAAGCCUACAAAACAGGACACUCAUAGUGUUAACAGCAAUUAGCAAGCCAUAUGGCAUGCGAGUGGACACCAGUCAGACAUUAAAGGGAAAUGAUAUGUAUGAAGGUUUUGGCAUUGAUCUUAUACAUGAAAUAUCCCUUAUGCUUGGGUUUAAUUAUACAUUUGUCCUACAACUUGACAGCAAAUAUGGGACAUUAAACAAGGAAACAAAGAAAUGGGAUGGCAUGGUCAGAGAACUUCUGGAUGGUAAUGCAGAUUUGGCUAUCACAGACUUGACAAUUACAGCUGAACGGGAGAGUGCUGUGGAUUUUACUAUGCCGUUCAUGAAUUUAGGUAUUGCUAUCCUGUACAAGAAACCAAUGAAGGCUGCACCAAAGCUGUUUUCAUUUAUGGAUCCUUUCUCCAAGGAUGUUUGGAUUGUAAUGUUUGCAGCUUACAUAGGAGUAUCUCUUAUGCUCUUUGUAAUGGGCAGGAUCAGUCCAUAUGAAUGGACAAACCCAUACCCCUGCAUUGAAGAACCAGAAACACUGGAGAACCAAUUUACACUGAGUAACAGUUUAUGGUUCACAAUUGGAAGCCUGAUGCAACAAGGCACAGAAAUAGCACCAAUUGCUGUGUCAACGAGAAUGGUUGCUGGUAUAUGGUGGUUUUUCACUCUUAUCAUGGUUUCAUCAUACACAGCAAAUCUGGCAGCCUUCCUUACAGUUGAAAGCAUGUAUCAACCAAUAAAAAAUGUGAAAGAUUUAGCAGACCAGAACACAAUUAAAUAUGGAGCAAAGGGAGGUGGCUCUACUCUAAAUUUCUUCAGAGAUUCUGAAGAUGAAAUAUAUCGACGAAUGUACAACACAAUGAUUAAUACACCAGGUGUGUUGACAAAAGACAACGAUGAGGGUGUGGAAAAAGUAAAAAAUUCAAACUAUGCAUUCUUUAUGGAGUCAACUUCAAUUGAAUAUGUUAUUGAACGUAACUGUGAUCUGACCCAAGUUGGAGAUAAACUUGAUAACAAAGGCUAUGGCAUAGCAAUGAGAAAAAAUAUGACAUAUCGCAAUUCGCUUAGCACUGCAGUGUUAAAACUGCAAGAGACAGGACGCCUUCAAGCUUUAAAAAACAAAUGGUGGAAAGAAGAAAGGGGUGGUGGUCAGUGUGUGGAUGCAGAAGAAAAUACUGAUGUAUCUGGUCUGAAACUUGAAAAUGUUGGUGGUGUUUUUGUAGUGCUUAUGGUUGGUGUUGUGUUUGCCAUAUUUGUUACCUUCUUUGAACUUCUAUGGGAUGUAGGGCACAAAUCUCUGAAAGAAAAAAUACCUUUCAAAAUGUUGUUAAUGGAGGAGUUACGGUUUGUUGCCAAGUUACACGGAACAACAAAACCUGUCAGGAAGUACAAUCAGGAUGCAGAAGGGGAAGAUACAAAUAAUUUCAUACCUUUGAGUCCAUACACAAAUUCAUAUGACUUUGUUGACUCAAAGGAACCGCUGACAUGAUAUGCAACUUAAUUACAUUGUCAAAGUCAUUAACAGUAAUAAAUAAAUUGCUGUGUGUGAAGGCCUGAUGGAUGCAGUCGUCAAUGCACAGUGUGUACACCAGUACUUGAAGAGGAGGCAUUAGUGCUGCUCAAAAACAUACCCUCAACAAGCUCACAGUGUGUUGCAUGGGAAAUGGGUUUAAGCCAUUCC
RNA transcript from Schistocerca nitens (vagrant locust), 2961 nucleotides. It is a transcript of the gene named glutamate receptor ionotropic, kainate 2-like, with no coding region annotated. The transcript is spliced from 19 exons. NCBI's taxonomy places the organism in Eukaryota, Metazoa, Arthropoda, Insecta, Orthoptera, Acrididae. The record is from RefSeq and is a predicted model, not a curated record.